Non-coding RNA from Caenorhabditis elegans, 21 nucleotides. The record is from Ensembl. NCBI's taxonomy places the organism in Eukaryota, Metazoa, Nematoda, Chromadorea, Rhabditida, Rhabditidae.
UUCCUUUUUUGAAUUUUGAAA